UGCUAAAUCUGAGGUCUGGGAAUAGAAAUAAAUGGAAGGAUCUUGCCUGUGAAGGGGGGAACUUCUGGGGAAAUAUUUACUCCAGAGGUAGAAGAAGCAGUCCAAGGGAAAUUUCCUCUCUACAUCCUGAUGUCUGCAGCAAUCUUUCUUUGAGAAGUUAUCCACACUGAACACGUGGCUCCAAAUUGAGCUUGGACCGUUUACUCUGGUAGUUGCAGGAAGAGAAAAUUUAUUUCACUGCUGUGGCCUGGACUCAUAACCUAAAGUCAAUGAUGAGAGAAUCAGAGCAGGCCCAACAUGUUCUGGAGGAUGAAGAAACCGAGGAGAGCACAGGGAAGCAGAGGGAGGAAGAGGAAGGGCAGGAGGCCCAUCUCGCCUUUCUGAGCACCAAGAACCUGGUGGGAUGACCCCACUCACUACCAGAGCAGGGUGGCAGAGGUGAAGGCUGCUCUCCCUUAUCUCCUUGCUGCAGGCCAGCUUCCUAACGCCCGGCACCACCUCAGAAGACCAGCUGAUCCCAGCACAGACGGGGGGGAUGCCAGGUGGGAACUUGGACGGUUGUAUCGCUCUGCCCCACGGCAGCAUCGAGGCUCUUUGAAAGCACUAAAUGCUGGCAAGGGCCAGGACAGGACUAAUGGGCUACUAGCCUCAGGGGACUAAUGGGAUGGCUAAUAAGGACAUGGAUUUUGACAUCGCAGAGCAAAUAAGAAUUGGCAGGCAUUAACCUCAGACAUGUCUGCUACCUAGACAAAUCCAAGCCCCUCUGUCUUCGUUCUGUUUAGCAUAUUAAUGUUUAAUUCCAUUAGCAUCAGCAGCCGUGGCCGCCGUUCAGCCCAGGAGCUGCUUGGAUGAGCCUCGGGAGGUGCCAUUUUUGGAAGGGGACCCCGCAGCUGGCCGGGGGCCAGAGAGCCCUGCCCAGCUCCUCAGCCAGCAGCAGUCCCUACGCUGUGGCUGCAGCUCACAGCGUCUGCCUUUUGCUCACAGUCCCAUGCUAAUUCAGCAUCAAACGCUGCUGCCCACUCCAUGGGCUGCCUCUUUCCCAAAGCACUGCAUCUGUGCUUUAUUGCUGUUUGCGGGGGGUGAUUUUCCCUCUCUCCUCUGCUUUCACCCCUUUCUCUUUCACUUUAAGGAUGCAAAUCCUUACUACCCUACUACAUGCCUUCCAGGAGAAAGAAGGUGGCAGGGGCUGAUUCCAGGCUGGAAAUAGGAUGGGGAAAGAGCUUCUCACAAAGAAAUGAACCAUGUUGAUUCAUCUUCUCCAGCCUCCCUGCUCUCCACUCCUUGCUAAGUGGUAGUGGCAGCAGCAGCAUGGUGUGCAGCGGUGCAUUUCCUUGCAUUCAGCCCAGCAGCCCUGCACACCUCUGGAGAGAGGACUGAUCUCAGGAGGACAGGAAAGAAGCAGUCCCGAUGUCUGCUGCAAUUCCUUUCAGAGCUUAGAAAUCUAAUCAGUGAGGUGGCAUUCUAUUUUUCUCUCCUUUCUCCCUUUAAUUCUUUCCUUUAAACGAGAUAUUAAAAAUAGGAAAUAUUAAUUUGGCAGAUGGUGCAAUUGGGCUUUUGGCAGGAGAACGUACAUUGUGCUGCGGAGUUGCAGACCUCUGUCUCCACACUGGAGCACUGAGUGAUGCUCUGGCUCUUCUCCAGGCAGUGCCUUCCUCCAGCUCUGGGUGCUGGGAGAGCUGUCUGGGGCAGAGGGAGCUCCCGUGGCUCCUUCCUCCAGCUGCAGCCAAGGAGCUUUGAUUUCUGUCAGUUCUAAGCUAUCACCAAAGGGUGGAGAGCUCGUUUUUGCUUUAAUUGUAGCCAGGUUUGAUUGCAGUGGGAGCUGCACACGUGUAAGCACAGCACUAUUUCUGCAGGGAGGUGGUUGAGACUUGGUUUGGAGUUUUAAGGGAAGAGAAGAGAAGGGAGCUCAGCUUAGCUCAUGGGUGUCUUGGCUUUCUACAGCAUGGGAUGCACUGCUUGCUCUUUCAGAGGGGUCUGUGGGAGGGCACUCUGUAGGACCCCACUUAACAUUUCUAUCCACCGGGCCCUGAACUGUUGAGAAUACAGCAGUGAUCACAGUGCUUUUGAAUGAGGCUGCUGGAUGCUCUAGAUCUGCUUACAUCAGACCCCAUCUGCCAGGAUCACAUGCUGGUCCUGACCAACAGUGAGAGCAGAGGCAUGAAGGUGCUUCUCGCUGCCCACAAAGUUUGAGCUGUGGAUGGUGCAAGAUACCAACGUUGCCACGGUUCACAUUUUCUUUCCCACGUACUGUGGGAAAGAGCAAUCCAUCAGUUACCAUCCACGGCAAUCGACAAAUGUUGACGUCUUAAUGGCAACCGCCAUACCUGCAGCUGGAGUGAGAUGGAAUACUGAUAGAGCAGUUAGUACCCAGGAUGGUGAUGUGAUUUUAUAUUUCAUUUAACCCAGAACACAAUACGCUGCAAUGUAUAUAUUUGUAACUGCUCCCUUGAUGGUCUCUCUGGAGUAUUAUAAAGAUUUAUCAUGUAGUGUUUGGUCAAUACUAAAUACCGUGAAAUGUCAGUAGAGCACUUCUUGGAAUUGCUUGAGCAGUAAAUAACAGAAUCCUACAAUAUCCAAAAAGGAACAAACAGGUGAGCAAGUAACCUUAAUGAAACAACAACAACAAAAAACAACAAACACAAUACCUAACCUUUAGAAAAGAACAACAAAACACCGAGGAUUUUGUUAUUAAGUCCCCUUGACUUUUAAUAAGAUGUAUAUAUAUGUCAUUUAACUGCUCUGAUAGUUGUAGCCAUUUAGAUCUGGAAAUUUGGUGCCAUGGAUUUUUGAGUCCAAGCACCACAUCAAGUUUCCCCCACUCCUUUUACCACCAUGAAACCCCUGUUCCUCCUGUUCCACAGCCCUGUGUCAGCAGCCGUGCCAUGGCCAGAGAGCCUGCGAGAACAUCCUCUGGGUCCUCUGCAGGAACCAGUCCCAGAAACAGCAGCUGGGAGGUGGCGUGGACACCCCCACCCCGUGCUGACACAUUUCCCUCACCAUUGCUUCUCAGCUAAUGGUAGGAUUGAUCUAAGAAAACCCUCCAGGUUUUUUUUUACAGAUCAGAAGUUGGCUCCUGCUUAAACAUAUGUGUCUCUUUCCCUGUCUCUGACUUGCAGAAUAGCUGCUAACUAACCAAAAGACAACAUGGUGAGCUGAGGCUAUUAGUGACUAAUAAUGCCAUUUGCAGGCAGCAAAGGCUGAAAGGCUUCCAGAGCAGUUAGCAGUCUGCAAGUAUCUCCCAGAAAUGCAUGAGCAGAGCUCCUGUGCAGCAGCCAAAGAGCAAUUAUUCUUGGAAAGCACGUCUGCCUCAUGGUUUAAAAUCUCUUCUAGUGUAUCAAGUUAAAAAAAAAAAAAAGAGAAAGAAAAAGAAAAAAGUGCCAAAUGAAAGCAGAGAAACCAGAAUAAAGGGCUCUGAGUGCUGUGAAUGACCGUGAAUGCAGGUGGGUGCACCUGGUGACACCCUCUGGCUCUGUGCAGGGUGCCCGCAGCAGUGACAGCCGGCUGGGCUGGCCGCAGCUGGAGUCUGUCCUUGCGGAGGCGGCAGCAGUUUAGUCCCCUCUCCGGCCUUCCCAAGAGCAGAGACACAGGCAGCAUGCAGAGCUCUUCAAAAACUGCAUUUGUUAGAAUGAGCCUCAGUCAAGCAAGCGCGCAUUUUUUUUUUCUUUUGACUUUCCUUUUUUUUUUUUUUUUUUUUUUUUUUUUUCCCCUGCAAAUGUCUCAAUUGUAGCAGAAGUAGUUAUAUUCCUAACACGGUCAUUUUGAGUGCAGCUCUGUACACAGCUCUGCUCUUUAAAGAACUAGCAUGGAUCCUAACAGCUCUCCAGGCAGGAAAUCCAGUGGGACCUCUGCUUUCCUGCUUACUGAUCUAACGCUGGAUCCCUGGAUCCCAAUGAGCCCAUCAAUGCAGUGCCUUGGUAGCAAAUAAUGAUGCAGGGAGUCACCAAAGGACUGUUUUAUGGUCCAAACUUGUUAACUACAGAGAAUAGUUCUUUUGCAACAUUAUUAUAGUUUUUGCAAAUCACUCUUGCUUGCUAGUUUAUUCCACAUUUUUGCUUAACCACUCUGGUGCUAUUUUUUUUCCUUUAAAUGGCAUAUUUCAGUUCCUACAUGGGGCUUAUUCUCAGGGAUUUUUUUUGUGUGUGUGUGUGUGUGUGCUUUUUCUGUAUGCUGCUGCAUCUUUUUUGUGGUUCAGUUAUUUUAAUUAUGCAUUUUAUUUUAAGUACAUUGUUUUAUGACAUCAUUUGUUAAUUGUUCAAUUAUCACUCUGUUCCUUCGCUGCUCUGCAGUGUGUAGUAGCCUUGAAGCACUGGAGGAGUGUGCCACGAAGAGAAAAAUAUAUGGCCUAAAGACCCAAAGAUGCAUUGUCGACAGUUCUGCACUAUUUAAUUACAUGCUGUUUGGCAAAUAAUUAGUAAGAAAUUAGCUUCUUUCUCUCUAUGGGAAGAGCUUUUACAAUUUGCCACCAGCCCCUGCCAGAUGAAGCACGCUGCUCCUGCUCGUGGCACCUCCAUCAGCCUGCGAGCGGCAGAAGCCGCGAUUUGCACAGGUCAGGGCUGGUGGCACCUGUGGGGUUGCCAGCUGAUUGGGACUAACAGCAUUUCACAGCACCACAACAUCAGUGUGGAUUCUGCUGGGUGGUUGGAUGGUACUUAAAAGGUGCAGGUUAACAGGAGGUGCAUUUAUCCAUCACCUCUUAAAUCCCUCAUCUCUCCUGCUGCUACAAGCCCAUGCUCCUACUCUUUAAUUUACUCCCAUACCAACUUGCUGAUGCAACUUGCAGCAUCGUGUCUCUCACCUCACCCUUGACUUGGAAUGCCAGCUCCCUGAUUCCCUUUGCACCCUCUAAAAGGUGAGAGAGCCAGUGGGGUGCACCUCCCCAUCAUUGGUGCUGCCUGAAUUUCAGUGGAAGUAAUUAAAAACAGACCAAAACCCCAAGUGAUUCAGCUGUUGUGCUGAGUGCUGUAUCUGUGGCUGCCGAAGCAGUCAGGUACACACAUUUCGACAGAUGGAUGAAAAGAGCGUUGCAGUCUAUAGAUGCAGAUCUAUUGAGUCGCUCUCUUUCAGCUUGAGAAGAUAAAGGUUCGUGUCCUCUCUGACAGAAGAAGGGCUGAUAUUGGUCUUGUGUUACCUGAGCUGGUUCUUGCUGAUGAAGGUAGCACUGCCUGGUUGAAUUAGCAGCCUGGGGCAUGCCCAGCAGCAAGCAGUGAGGACAAAGAAAGGCAGACCUUAGUGACUUUGAAUGACCAGGUUUGGGUGACACAGAGUAACUCCCAACUGAAUUUGAGAGACUAAAAAAAAACCUGAUCAGAAGUACCUAAUUCCUCUCUUACAUUGAGCCCAGAGUUCAGUGUAACACUUUUACCCUCUGCUUUCUGUCAUCUUUUUUUAUCAUAUGAAGCCCUACAUCAGCCUGUAAAUUGGUUUAUGAGACUGAACUCACCGUUACACAGCUCAGACAAAACACUCCAGGUACUCCAUGGCACGCCCAGGUACAAAAUGGUUUAAUUUGCAAAUCCUUACUGAAUAUUAAUUUGGAAGGGCUGGGUCAGUUGAUGGCUUAUAAUUCUGCUACGAAUGCAACAGUUUGUGACCCAUUCAUAAUGCAAGCCUGAAAGAGAACUGAAGAUGCUGAGAUUCACCAUAUAUCGCUGCAGUAUCUCACUUGUUUUACAGUAAUUUGAUGCUGCCUGAACACAGUAGUCGACCUUUUUUACUCCUGCUUGCAGGGUAGAACAGCAGGGAUGAUAAACCUUAUGCUUUAGUUCAGAAAUAGCACACAUCAGUGAGAGCGACCAGGGUUGCACCACAGGAGAGUAUGCAUUGUGGCAGCUCACAGCAAUUCUGAUUACUGAGGUUUAUUAUAUAUACAAGAAAACCAUAUUGCCCACUAGUGAAAUUGCACAUUGGUCUAAAAUCCUGUUUAGGAUUUCAUUUUUAAACCUAACCUCUUAUCUGGGUUUAUGUCUCCUGGAAGGUGUGUUCCUGUAAGAGACCUGCAUGGCUCAGAGUCCCAUGAAUCUGAAAUGGGAACAUUUGUGAGCACUGUGAUGGUCCUACUCUGCCUCGAGAUGGCAGUGACCACAGCCUAUGUCAGCUAACACACAUUUGCCUAAAGGCAAAACCAAUGGCUCACUAUGCCCCGAGUCAAAGGAAAUUUGUGAGAUAGCUACCUGAGAUGCAAAGGGAAGGAAGUAUGAUCUGUGCAUGGAGGGGCAGUAUCACCGUGUCCACUUUCCCUGCACAGCCUCACUGUGCCCAGUCUGUGGAGGACCACCUUUGUUCUUGGGGCAGCAUAACCAUGGAGAAAGGUAAACUUCAGCACAGUAUGCAGAAAAAAUAAAGCAAACUAGCACUAGAAAACAGAACUUGGGGUCAUCUGGGUGCUAGAUUGCAUCUACUUUUAUUUACACAGAAGGAAACAUAGCAUGAGUAACGGCUCUGAAGCAGCUACGCUGGAUAUUUAUUGCAGAGAGAUGACUGGGACAAAUGAGAGCAUUUCCACUUUUUCAGCAGGUGGUGCACAAUGAGCGUGA
Anas platyrhynchos (mallard) is the source of this 6533-nucleotide long non-coding RNA. RefSeq lists it as uncharacterized. NCBI's taxonomy places the organism in Eukaryota, Metazoa, Chordata, Aves, Anseriformes, Anatidae. The record is from RefSeq and is a predicted model, not a curated record.